CGUGAGGCGCUGCGUUCGAAGGGAGGAACUCUGCUCUUCACGGGAGCAGGCAGGGAGCCGCUAGGAAGGGCAGCCCCGCGGUGAGGGGCGCGGAGCGGAGGCCGCCUGCUGCCCUGGGGCUGGGGCUGCCCAGCGCCCCUCCGCACAGUGGAGGGCGAGAGCCCGGCCCCAGCGCGAUGGCUCUCGCCGGCAGGACGGCGAGGUGGUGGGCCCGCCUGCGGAGCCCCUGCCCUGCCGGCGCCCCGCUCUGCCUUCCGCCCCGGCUGCCCGUGGGGCCUGUGGCCUGCGAGCGGCUGUACAGCUCCCACGGCCAGGAAAAAUUAGAUAUGUCGAUGUAUCCUGUGGAAAGCAUUAGAAACUUCAGCAUUAUAGCUCACGUAGAUCAUGGCAAAAGUACGCUAGCAGACCGAUUGUUGGAAAUCACAGGAACAAUUGCUAAAACUGACCGUAACAAACAAGUGCUGGAUAAACUGCAAGUGGAACGUGAAAGAGGAAUUACAGUUAAAGCACAAUCUGCAUCUCUCUUUUACAAUCAUGAUGGAGUAAAUUACCUCUUAAAUCUUAUUGACACACCAGGCCAUGUAGAUUUCAGCUAUGAAGUAUCACGAUCGCUGUCUGCCUGUCAAGGUGUCAUACUUGUAGUGGAUGCAAAUGAGGGUAUUCAGGCUCAGACAGUGGCAAACUUCUAUCUCGCUUUUGAAGCACAGCUUGCAAUAAUUCCUGUCAUAAAUAAGAUUGACUUGAAGAAUGCAGACCCUGAAAGAGUUGAAAAACAAAUUGAGAAACUCUUUGAUAUCCCUAUAGAUGAAUGUGUAAGGAUUUCUGCUAAACAAGGAACAAAUGUUGAAAAAGUUCUUCAAAAGGUCAUUGAGAAGAUUCCUCCACCCCAAUGUAAAACUGCUGAUCCAUUAAAAGCCUUAGUAUUUGACUCCACCUUUGACCACUACCGAGGUGUCAUAGCUAACAUUGCACUCUUUGGUGGGGAGAUUCAGAAAGGACAUAAAAUUGUGUCUGCACACACAAAGAAAAGAUAUGAAGUGAAUGAAGUUGGAAUUCUGACUCCGAAUGAACAGCCAACACAUAAGCUAUAUGCUGGACAGGUGGGCUACGUGAUUGCUGGAAUGAAAGAAGUAACAGAAGCCCAAAUAGGAGACACGCUGUUUUUGUAUAAACAGCCAGUGGAGCCUUUGCCUGGCUUUAAGUCAGCGAAGCCAAUGGUUUUUGCAGGAAUGUAUCCUAUAGAUCAAACAGAAUAUAAUAAUCUCAAAAGUGCUUUGGAAAGGCUGACAUUGAAUGACUCCAGUGUAACUGUUCAUCGUGACAGCAGCCUUGCCUUAGGAGCAGGAUGGAGGUUGGGUUUCCUUGGUCUUUUGCAUAUGGAAGUUUUUAAUCAACGUUUGGAGCAAGAGUAUAACAUGUCUGUCAUUUUGACUGCACCUACAGUUCCAUAUAAAGCUAUUCUUUCCUCUGCGAGGUUGAUAAAGGAAUAUGGUAAAGCAGAGGUUACUAUUAUCAACCCUGCACAGUUCCCUGAUAAGCUUUCAGUAUCUGAGUACUUAGAGCCAACUGUUCUUGGCACUAUUGUAACACCUCAAGAAUAUAUUGGGAAAAUAAUUGCUUUGUGUCAGGAUCGUAGGGCAGUCCAGAAGGAUAUGUUGUACAUUGAUGAACGCAGGAUUAUGCUAAAAUACCUCUUUCCACUGAAUGAAAUCGUGGUGGAUUUUUAUGAUGCUCUUAAGUCUCUGUCUUCUGGUUAUGCGAGUUUUGAUUAUGAAGAUGCAGGAUACCAGGCAGCAGACCUUAUCAAAAUGGAUAUUCUUAUAAAUGGAAAUCCAGUUGAAGAACUGGCAACAAUCGUACACAGUGAUAAGGCACAUACUACUGGUAAAUUCCUGUGUGAACGUUUAAAAGAUGCUAUACCUCGACAAUUGUUUGAAAUAGCCAUCCAGGCUGCUAUUGGCAAGAAAAUCAUUGCAAGAGAAACUGAAGCCACUGAGGCAAGGGACACCAGAGCGAGGGAUCAUGCUGGUGGACCCCUUCUGCAGCAGCUAAACUGCAAGGAAACCCUCUGCAAAACCGAGGAAGGAAGGCGAGAGAGUGCGAGGGAGUCAGUCCCAGCCCCUGUCCCUGGGCAGGGAGUGAGAGCUUCUGGGGAGCGGCAGCUCUGACUCACCGUGGGCAGAGGCAAAGAGAUGGUGGCGUGAGCCCCUCAGGUAGAAGAGCAGCCCCUGGGGAGCGCAGCGACCAGGAGUAGGCAAACAGGGCCUGGCGCGGCAGUUUGCGCAGGCAGGGUGCACAGGCAGAGCGCGUGAAGCAGGGCACAGGCCUCCUCUUGGCUCAAGGUAAGAACUCUGUCUUAGGGUGGAGGCUUCAUGAGAAGUAGAGGAUCCUCUGCCUUCCUGUCACCUGGCAGAGGUAGGGGACCUGAGACAAGAGGGGAACUGGAAGUGGGUCCCUGCUCGAGGCAACAGGUGAACCCACUCCCGGCUUCCCUCACCUUCACGUGUGCCCUUACAGAACAGGUAUGUGGCCCUGGAUCAGGAAAAUCAGGUAACUGAGGUUACUGACAAAGGUCUGUCCAGGGAGUUGCCGAGGCAGUCUGCCCCAUGCAUUAGGACUGCCUCUACUAAGAACAAAAGGAAGGUAGUUGUAGGAGAUUCUCUUUUGAGGGGAACUGAGGGAUGAUCUUUCAAGGUCCCUUCCAACCCCUAAAAUUCUGUGAUUUGGCAGUAGAAAAAGUUUCUUUCUACUGAAAAAAAAUAGAUAAUUGUGGAAUAGUUUAAUCUCUGGGAGAGUCAGCAAAAAAAAUACUGAACUAUGCUAUUCUAAAGGAAAUGCAUUGCAAGCUGAACGCGCAGCUAUUUCUUAGCAGCACUCACUUAUUUUAGAGCAAACUGGUUCCUUGAUGUUGUGUUUCAUGACACAUUUUUUUCUGGUGCUGUUAAAUAGGAUUUAAAUUGUGGUAAAAGAUUAAAGGUAGGGAUCCAAGCAGGGGUGCUGUGAGAAUUUGGGUGUACAUACCUAUGUUCAUGUAUAUGUAACACUUACUGAGAGUCAUAGCAGAAAUCCUAGUCAAAAAGACACAAUUGUAAUUUUUAUGUAUAUACAUCCCCAAAGGGUUAUUUCUAGAACUGAGAAAUGUAAAUAAUUUUAUUUAGAACUUUGUCUUCUCUGUACAGAAUUUCAAAAUGUCAUUAUUCCAAAAUAUCAUUAGUCCAUUAUUAUAAAACUAGUAAAAAAUAAACAUUUAGCCUUUUGACAACUUGAUAUUUAUCCUCACAUAUAGGAGAUGUUCUAAUGUGUUAACAUAUACAUGUUGUUUUAUUUUACAGGCUGAAAGCAUACAGAAAAAAUGUUGUGGCAAAAUGUUAUGGUGGAGACAUUACAAGAAGAAUGAAGCUUUUAAAGAGGCAGGCAGAAGGGAAGAAGCUG
RNA transcript from Apus apus (common swift), 3432 nucleotides. It is a transcript of the gene named GTP binding elongation factor GUF1, with no coding region annotated. The record is from RefSeq and is a predicted model, not a curated record. The transcript is spliced from 17 exons. NCBI's taxonomy places the organism in Eukaryota, Metazoa, Chordata, Aves, Apodiformes, Apodidae.